Molecule: ribosomal RNA, 798 nt
Filed under: Triticum aestivum (bread wheat)
Lineage: Eukaryota; Viridiplantae; Streptophyta; Magnoliopsida; Poales; Poaceae
Description: partial small subunit ribosomal RNA
Source: RNAcentral
AUGAGAAUGCCGAACCCUAGAGAGGUUGAGAGAGCCCUUUUUGUUGAGCAUAUUAAGCUGAAAAAGUGUGGGGUUAGUGUUAAAUUCUCUCCUUGGUUUGAAGAUAUUGAUUCUGAGGGACUGCUUGAAAUUGCCUGGGUCAAGAUUGGAAAAAUUCCACCUAACAAGAGAUGUGAUAAGACUAUAGCUUAUGUGGGAGCGUUAGUUGGGAUUACUCUGGAAGUUGAUAUGUCAACUAUAAAUCGCCCUUCUUCUGUCAGAGCUAAGAUUGGGUGUAGGUCGAUAGCUCAGCUCCCUGUCACUGCUGAAGGAGUGCUGGCAGGACGUUUCUACAGGUUUACUUAUGAGGUCGAGGAGGUUUUGGUCAAGAAUCCUGGGAAUGCAGAAAAGGAGGAUCCUAUCCCUAUGGAUGGAACCAAGGCUGACCAGACUCCUAAGAGGAAACGUACUGAACAUGAGAGAGGGGUGCAGCAGCCUGAGUCUGCUGGACAUGGCAAUACUGGGGGUUCCUAUCGUGGUGGCAAGGCCUGUCGCCUGCUAUACGAUGACAAUGAGGGAUCUCCUUCUACUGAAAGUGAUGGGGAUAAUUCCCUGCUUAUUGAAACAAUGCAAAGAGAGAUGGAGGAUAAAAUGAGGGAAGGGGAGGUUGAUUCUUCCCGCUGGAUUGUUCCCAGGAAUCCUGAUAUCAUGGAGAAUGGUGCACAAGAUAUUCAGGUGAAAAAAGACAUACAUAACAUAUCUGGUACACCUUGUCAGACUGUUUCUAACCCUUCUCAGAUUUGUGGAGGUAACUGGUGA